RNAcentral lists this transfer RNA (72 nucleotides) under Rubricoccus marinus. It matches the Rfam family "tRNA". Rfam says of the family: Transfer RNA (tRNA) molecules are approximately 80 nucleotides in length. Lineage: Bacteria; Pseudomonadati; Rhodothermota; Rhodothermia; Rhodothermales; Rubricoccaceae. The record is from Rfam by way of RNAcentral.
GCCUCGAUAGCUCAGCGGUAGAGCAUCCGACUGUUAAUCGGACGGUCGCAGGUUCAAAUCCUGCUCGGGGCG